CCCUGGUUUGCUCAGUUGAUAGAGCACUCCACCUGUAAUGGAGAGGUCCCGGGCUCGACACCCGGACCUGGCG
This 73-nucleotide transfer RNA is filed under the name Ixodes scapularis (black-legged tick). It matches the Rfam family "tRNA". From Rfam's summary of the family: Transfer RNA (tRNA) molecules are approximately 80 nucleotides in length. Their secondary structure includes four short double-helical elements and three loops (D, anti-codon, and T loops). Lineage: Eukaryota; Metazoa; Arthropoda; Arachnida; Ixodida; Ixodidae. The record is from Rfam by way of RNAcentral.